This 329-nucleotide ribosomal RNA is filed under the name uncultured eukaryote. RNAcentral's name for it is "partial 18S ribosomal RNA". It matches the Rfam family "Eukaryotic small subunit ribosomal RNA", at positions 1470 to 1796 of the family's 1831-position model. The record is from RNAcentral.
CCCUUAGAUGUUCUGGGCCACACGCGCGUUACACUGAUGAAGCCAGCGAGUAUAUCGCCUUCACCGGAAGGUGCGGGUAAUCUUGUGAAACUUCAUCGUGCUGGGGAUAGACCAUUGCAAUUAUUGGUCUUGAACGAGGAAUUCCUAGUAAGCAUGAGUCAUCAACUCGUGCUGAUUACGUCCCUGCCCUUUGUACACACCGCCCGUCGCUCCUACCGAUUGAAUGAUCCGAUGAAUAUCAUGGAUUGAGGAUGCAAGUAGGUUCGCCUAUCUUCAUCUUCGAGAAGUGAAGUAAAUCUUAUCAUUUAGAGGAAGGAGAAGUCGUAACA